CGUGGAGCAGCCAAUAGUUCCAAACACUGAUAGUUCCAGCGCUGAACUUCACACAUUUUCAAUGUUUCUGAAGUACGCUCGCUGGAGGUGAAAAACAAGUCUAAACCAAGACUUAAACUUAGAUAAAGUAAUUGUCAGUAAUUUAAGUUCCAGCUGUCGAACAGGUGGGAUUUAAUUUGCAAAGCCAUACACUGUAAGCCAUCACUGUAUGUGUGUGUUGUUUUGUUUGUUUUCAACAGGAUGGAUUAUCGGUGGGGAGUGGAGCAGUGGCCAGGCUGGGGGAGCUUGUGGUUCCUGUAAGCAAUGGAGUGAUGAUGAAGCUGGUUUAAAUUUGAACAGUGGGGUGCUGAAGCUGGUGGGGUGAUGGUGAGGCUGUAAGUGUAAGAUAGAAGAUAAUAUUGUCUAUAAUUAGUCAGAAAAUUAUUGUCAACUGCAAGAGUUACCACAAACAAGUCACAUCUUUCUCAAAAUUAAGCAGAUAUGUUGGACUAAUAUAUGAAUAACACAUACAAUCAAUAAAACUUGUAUAAACAUAAGACAAGAGACCAGAAAACAGGCAAAAUAGACCCUCCAUACCCAUUGAUGCUGAAGACUUGCUGGGUGGUGGGACAUUUGUAGGAGCAAAGGUCAGGCCAAACUCCUCCAUGGCAACAAGCAAGGUUUGUGGUGGGGGCCUGCUUGUUGUAGGUUUGGAUCUUUAUUGUCUUUACUGGUUCAUUUUUGACCUUUUUGUCUGGCUUUUGCUUCCAAGAUGACCAUCAUCAGACAGCUUUUUUUCUAUUAGCACAGAUCUGCUUUGCUGCAAUUCUUAAACUCAGCAUGAUGUAUGUGUUUUUGCAGAUCAUGGCAUGAAGGAAGCCUGCUGUCCAAGAGCCUACCCUCUCUCUCCAGCAUAUCCAUGGCAUUUGGAUCCAUAAAGGAGCCACUGGUCCUAGUUCGGAACAGCUCCUCAAUUUGCCGGACUAAAUCGAAGGCCUCUUGUGACGGCCGACAAAGUACACCUGGCUUGAACUCUUUCAGCUUCAGUAAAACACUGUGAUUUCCUUCAGGACUGUCAUCAUUGUGCUUAAUUGCACUUUGGCAACCCUCACAAAUCUUGGAAUAUUUAAUCACUUAAUUGAUAUUCACUUGUUGUGCAUGUACAGUACAGGUCAAAAGUUUGGAAACAUUACUAUUUUUAAUGUUUUUGA
Molecule: long non-coding RNA, 1190 nt
Organism: Cyprinus carpio carpio
Lineage: Eukaryota; Metazoa; Chordata; Actinopteri; Cypriniformes; Cyprinidae
Source: Ensembl